CUCCUUUCCUGGGAGUGGAGAAGCCCCAGCCAGAACCCUUGCCUUCCCCAAGAGGCACGCUCAGAGGGACAUUCUGCCCUUCCUCACUGCCCCUAGAGCCAACAUCACACCUGGCUUUGGGGCCCUAGAACCUCAGCCCGCGCCCCUCCCCUUCCACCCCCAGCCAUCCCUGCUCUGUGCCCAGUGAUCUUGGGGUCACCACAACCCCAUGGCGCCUUGAGGCCUCACCUUUCCUGGCCUCUCAGCAUCCUGGGACACUGAUGGUCAUGCCUUCCUUCUAGAAAGUUCUCUCCGAGGCUGUGGCUUCCAGGAUGAGCACUCUCCUCCUCCCACUUCCUCCCCUUCUCCUUCCCCCUCCUCCCUUCUCCCUGGAGAGGUCUUUCUCCAAGCCCCAGUCUUCCUCCCCACCCGGUGCCCCUCCCGCUGACAUUUGUCUGCAGUGCCUGUCUCCGCUCCCGCUAGGAAGCCUCCCCUCCGGCAUCUCCAAUCCAUCUCUGGGUCCUGCUCCACCUGCAUUUCCCUAGACCUGUCCUGGCCACCCUCACCCUGGGACACCUCCUGCCCGUGGAGAGCUCCUCUGAUAGGUGCCGUCCUUGGUCUUGGGGGUCCUUUCUCCCUAAUUCUACUUCUGUUUUGGGGGCGUGGGAACCCAGGGUCUUAACCCCAGCCAUUCCCCCUCCCAGGGGCCACUUCCCUCUGAAGCUUAGCCCAGCUCUGUGACCCCCACAGGCCUGCCCCCACCUGGUCCUCACUCCCCUGCAUAGCCACACUGUGGGGGCUCCAUGCUUCCCAGCCCAUAGGAAGCCCUGUUCCCAGAGGGGGCCAUUCUGUUUUAGUUGGAGCAGUGGCCAGAGGCAAAGGUCAGAAGGCAAAGGUCAUAAAAGUUUGUCUCUACCUGCCAGCAUCUGCCCCUGCUACCGCAUCUUCUCCCCUCUCCACCCAAACCCUCCCUCAGCUCCUGCCUCCACCUCUCCAGAGGCACAGACAACAGGGUUCUGAUCUUGGGUCAUGGUGCUCCCCCUGCCAGCCUCAGUCCGAGACCUCUGUGAAUGGGGGUGAUGGCUAAUGGGAUGAGGGGACCACCUCCUGGUGGCUGCAGGGACUGGGGUGAGGGUGCUGUAGGCUCUGCCUAAGUCAAGUGCCAUGGGGCUGAAGAGACGGCGCACCGGCCCUGGAGAAGAGUCCUCCCUGCCCUCCUGUGUCUGGCCUUGUUUCCUGGAGGACAGGUCCCCACGGGGCAGAGACCCAGCAGUCCCAGGUUCCUUAGCCUCUGCCACCUCCAGGCCAUGUCUGCUAACCCUGUCUGCCUUCAGCAAGCUUCGUUUUACCUGGCCAGAAUCCUCCAGACAGGUGUUUCGUGCCAUCCUGAACAAAAUAUGUGUUUCAACUGCUAUCCAGUUCUGGUUUCCCUUGACAUUGGUGAGACAUAUAAACAGAGGGCAGCUGGGAAUGGAGGGGGCAGGGCCUUCCCAUGCACAGUGGGGGGUGGGGGGACCUGCCCUCCAUCCAGUCCCCAGGGUCCUACUCAUUGCAGGGGGCCCUCCUGGAGGUGUCCUUGGUCCUGUACUGCAGGGUGGGCUGCAACGGGGCUGGGGGCAGGUCUGCACCCCCCACCCCUGAGAUGUGGGUUUGUCUAUCUGUGCUGGGGAUUCUGGAG
This 1657-nucleotide long non-coding RNA is filed under the name Pan troglodytes (chimpanzee). Its description in RNAcentral is "long non-coding RNA NONPTRT010707". The record is from RNAcentral. Lineage: Eukaryota; Metazoa; Chordata; Mammalia; Primates; Hominidae.